AUUGAACGCUGGCGGCAGGCCUAACACAUGCAAGUCGAACGGUAACAGGAAGAAGCUUGCUUCUUUGCUGACGAGUGGCGGACGGGUGAGUAAUGUCUGGGAAACUGCCUGAUGGAGGGGGAUAACUACUGGAAACGGUAGCUAAUACCGCAUAACGUCGCAAGACCAAAAAGGGGGACCUUCGGGCCUCUUGCCAUCGGAUGUGCCCAGAUGGGAUUAGCUGGUAGGUGGGGUAACGGCUCACCUAGGCGACGAUCCCUAGCUGGUCUGAGAGGAUGACCAGCCACACUGGAACUGAGACACGGUCCAGACUCCUACGGGAGGCAGCAGUGGGGAAUAUUGCACAACGGGCGCAAGCCUGAUGCAGCCAUGCCGCGUGUAUGAAGAAGGCCUUCGGGUUGUAAAGUACUUUCAGCGGGGAGGAAGGGAGUAAAGUUAAUACCUUUGCUCAUUGACGUUACCCGCAGAAGAAGCACCGGCUAACUCCGUG
This 490-nucleotide ribosomal RNA is filed under the name uncultured bacterium. Its description in RNAcentral is "partial 16S ribosomal RNA". It matches the Rfam family "Bacterial small subunit ribosomal RNA", at positions 30 to 507 of the family's 1533-position model. The record is from RNAcentral.